RNAcentral lists this ribosomal RNA (425 nucleotides) under uncultured bacterium. Its description in RNAcentral is "partial 16S ribosomal RNA". It matches the Rfam family "Bacterial small subunit ribosomal RNA", at positions 354 to 796 of the family's 1533-position model. The record is from RNAcentral.
GUUAGGAAUAUUGGACAAUGGGCGCAAGCCUGAUCCAGCCAUGCCGCGUGAACGAUGAAGGCCUUCGGGUUGUAAAGUUCUUUAGCCGAUGAUUAUAAUGACUGUAGUCGGAAAAUAAGCCCCGGCUAACUUCGCGCCAGCAGCCGCGGUAAUACGAAGGGGGCGAGCGUUAUUCGGAAUCACUGGGCGUAAAGCGUGCGUAGGCGGUCUCGUAAGUUAGGAGUGAAAGCCCAGGGCUCAACCUUGGAAUUGCUCUUAAAACUGCAAGGCUAGAAUCUCGGAGAGGAUAGCGGAAUUUCCAGUGUAGCAGUGAAAUGCGUAGAUAUUGGAAGGAACACCAGUGGCGUAAGCGGCUAUCUGGACGAGUAUUGACGCUGAGGCACGAAAGCGUGGGGAUCAAACAGGAUUAGAAACCCCGGUAGUCC